GUAGUCCACGCCCUAAACGAUGUCAACUAGCUGUUGGGGGCUUCGGCCCUUGGUAGCGCAGCUAACGCGUGAAGUUGACCGCCUGGGGAGUACGGUCGCAAGAUUAAAACUCAAAGGAAUUGACGGGGACCCGCACAAGCGGUGGAUGAUGUGGAUUAAUUCGAUGCAACGCGAAAAACCUUACCUACCCUUGACAUGUCUGGAAUCCUGAAGAGAUUUGGGAGUGCUCGCAAGAGAACCGGAACACAGGUGCUGCAUGGCUGUCGUCAGCUCGUGUCGUGAGAUGUUGGGUUAAGUCCCGCAACGAGCGCAACCCUUGUCAUUAGUUGCUACGAAAGGGCACUCUAAUGAGACUGCCGGUGACAAGCCGGAGGAAGGUGGGGAUGACGUCAAGUCCUCAUGGCCCUUAUGGGUAGGGCUUCACACGUCAUACAAUGGUCGGGACAGAGGGUCGCGAAGCCGCGAGGUGGAGCCAAUCCUAUAAACCCGAUCGUAGUCCGGAUUGUAGUCUGCAACUCGACUACAUGAAGUCGGAAUCGCUAGUAAUCGCGGAUCAGCAUGUCGCGGUGAAUACGUUCCCGGGUCUUGUACACACCGCCCGUCACACCAUGGGAGUGGGUUUUACCAGAAGCAGGUAGUCUAACCGCGAGGGGGACGCUUGCCACGGUAGGAUUCAUGAC
Molecule: ribosomal RNA, 680 nt
Filed under: uncultured Burkholderiales bacterium
Lineage: Bacteria; Pseudomonadati; Pseudomonadota; Betaproteobacteria; Burkholderiales
Description: bacterial SSU rRNA
Rfam family: Bacterial small subunit ribosomal RNA
Source: RNAcentral